UCGGAGUUGGUCUUUCAUCAAACGUCCCGGUUUCCUGCUCGUGUUUGCCUUCGUUGUGGCAUAACUCAUAGCUACACUACUUGCUGUUUAUGCAAACUGGGGCUUUGCCAGAAUCAAAGGCAUUGGCUGGGGUUGGGCCGGAGUUAUCUGGCUCUACAGUCUAGUCUUCUACUUCCCACUCGAUGUACUCAAGUUUGGAAUUCGCUAUUUUUUGAGUGGAAAGGAUUGGAAUAAUUUGAUUCAAAACAAGACUGCCUUCACAACAAAGAAGGAUUAUGGAAAAGGAGAGAGGGAAGCACAAUGGGCCUUAGCUCAACUUACCCUUUAUGGAUUGAUGGGACCCGAAAUCACAAAUGAGGAGAGCAC
Long non-coding RNA from Hibiscus syriacus, 366 nucleotides. RefSeq lists it as uncharacterized. The transcript has 3 exons. The record is from RefSeq and is a predicted model, not a curated record. Lineage: Eukaryota; Viridiplantae; Streptophyta; Magnoliopsida; Malvales; Malvaceae.